GUCCACGCCGUAAACGAUGAGUGCUAGACGUUGGGGAGCUUGCUCUCCGGUGUCGCAGCUAACGCGUUAAGCACUCCGCCUGGGGAGUACGGCCGCAAGGUUAAAACUCAAAGGAAUUGACGGGGCCCGCACAAGCGGUGGAGCAUGUUGUUUAAUUCGAAGCAACGCGCAGAACCUUACCAGCCCUUGACAUGGGGGUCGCGAGCGUCGGAGACGGCGUUCAUCAGUUCGGCUGGACCCCACACAGGUGCUGCAUGGCUGUCGU
Molecule: ribosomal RNA, 265 nt
Filed under: uncultured bacterium
Lineage: Bacteria
Description: partial 16S ribosomal RNA
Rfam family: Bacterial small subunit ribosomal RNA
Source: RNAcentral